CAAGAUCCAUCUUACUCU
RNAcentral lists this small nuclear RNA (18 nucleotides) under Arabidopsis thaliana (thale cress). Its description in RNAcentral is "snRNA_13241". The record is from RNAcentral. Lineage: Eukaryota; Viridiplantae; Streptophyta; Magnoliopsida; Brassicales; Brassicaceae.